UAGCAAGGGCCGGGCAAGACCGGUGCCAGCCGCCGCGGUAACACCGGCGGCCCGAGUGGUGAUCGUGAUUAUUGGGUCUAAAGGGUCCGUAGCCGGUUUGGUCAGUCCUCCGGGAAAUCUGACAGCUUAACUGUUAGGCUUUCGGAGGAUACUGCCAGACUUGGAACCGGGAGAGGUAAGAGGUACUACAGGGGUAGGAGUGAAAUCUUGUAAUCCCUGUGGGACCACCUGUGGCGAAGGCGUCUUACCAGAACGGGUUCGACGGUGAGGGACGAAAGCUGGGGGCACGAACCGGAUUAGAUACCCGGGUAGUCCCAGCCGUAAAUGAUGCUCGCUAGGUGUCAGGCAUGGCGCGACCGUGUCUGGUGCCGCAGGGAAGCCGUGAAGCGAGCCACCUGGGAAGUACGGCCGCAAGGCUGAAACUUAA
This 427-nucleotide ribosomal RNA is filed under the name uncultured archaeon. Its description in RNAcentral is "bacterial SSU rRNA". It matches the Rfam family "Archaeal small subunit ribosomal RNA", at positions 433 to 859 of the family's 1478-position model. The record is from RNAcentral.